UUUGAUGUGAUUAGAAAGAGAAGAAGAAAGAUCCACGAUCCAGAAAGAAAGAGAAUGAUCUUUUUUCACUUUGAUCUUUUUGAAUUUUUUUUUUCUUUUCUGCAAGUUCUCUUAUCUUAUCUAUCUUUCUCUCAUGUGCCUGUAUAUGUCUAUAUCUAUAUGUUAUAUCUGUGGUGUUUUUUUUUUUUUUUGAGAGGUUUUCUUUGUGGGCGUCUUUGCUGUGUUGGGUUUUUGUUGAUUUUUCGAGCCUAUCUGAGAUUCCAGAUCUGUGGUGAAUCAUGUGGCUUUUCUGUGGGGUGGUCUUUAAUCCUAUAAUCAAGAAGCUGAGAAAACCAAGACUUUUGCUACUCCCAAAGACAGAGUUGGGGAUUGAACAUUACGUAUAUUGAGGGAGUUUGAAAGAUCAAGUUUUAAAAUUCCUACAAGCCAAAGCAGAAGAGAGAAAAAGGUCUAAUUUUUUUUCCUCCCCUGUAAAGGAGGCUGAUAGUUAUUAUUCAAAACGUCAAGGGACGUACUUUUUUGGUAAGUGGUUUGUUCUU
Long non-coding RNA from Rosa chinensis, 539 nucleotides. RefSeq lists it as uncharacterized. The transcript is spliced from 3 exons. The record is from RefSeq and is a predicted model, not a curated record. Lineage: Eukaryota; Viridiplantae; Streptophyta; Magnoliopsida; Rosales; Rosaceae.